ACGAACGCUGGCGGCGUGCCUAACACAUGCAAGUCGAACGGAACCAGCAAUGGUUCAGUGGCGGACGGGUGCGUAACACGUGAGGAACAUGUCUUUCGGUGGGGGAUAGCCGGCCCAACGGCCGGGUAAUACCGCAUACGCUGCUCGGAGCUCCUGCUCUGAGUCGGAAAGCAGCAAUGCGCCGAUCGAGUGCCUCGCGGCCUAUCAGCUAGUUGGUGAGGUAAUGGCUCACCAAGGCGACGACGGGUAGCUGGUCUGAGAGGAUGGCCAGCCACAUUGGGACUGAGACACGGCCCAGACUCCUACGGGAGGCAGCAGUGGGGAAUAUUGCGCAAUGGGCGAAAGCCUGACGCAGCGACGCCGCGUGUGGGAUGACGGCCUUCGGGUUGUAAACCACUGUCGGGAGGGACGAAGAUCUGACGGUACCUCCAAAGGAAGCACCGGCUAACUCUGU
Molecule: ribosomal RNA, 454 nt
Filed under: uncultured bacterium
Lineage: Bacteria
Description: bacterial SSU rRNA
Rfam family: Bacterial small subunit ribosomal RNA
Source: RNAcentral